GUUACCUUGUUUGAAACUUAAAUUAUGGCCUUUGUGAUGUUAAUUUUGUGACCCUGACGAUGAAGCGUUCGCUUCGAAAAGCUUCGGUCUAUAAGUUUUGUUGAUAAAAUGUAAGUUUUUUAGAGAAAUUUUACAUUAUUUCUAGCACUCGGCUACACUUCAAAUCCCAAUAUAUUCAGUGCUACUACCUUCAGACAUCGCAUUACAUCCUCGCUGAUUUUGAUUUUGAAUAAAAAUAAGUCAGUAAAAACAAUAAUAACUUGACAAAAGAAUUGUGAAUAGUGACUUACUGUUUGUUUGUCCUUCCUGGGGGAACUCUGUAGGGAAAUCUGAUAUUUGGGUAUUUCUGCCGGGAAAUUCUAAAUUGUGUUCGGCACUGACAUUAUCCACUAUCGCAGGAGGGCUUUCUGUUGGCGGUAAAAGUGGUGUUGGGAGUAAAGGUCCUUUCGGCGUUGUCCCGGUGUGUGUUCCUGCGGGUGUUGGGAGCGGCCCCUGUUUUGCAAAGGCUCCUUUCUUAGGUCCUUCCCUCACAACCGGCGUUGUCUCGGUGUGUGUUCCUGCGGGUGUCGGAGGCGGCCCCUGCUUUGCAAAGGCUCCUUUCUUAGGUCCUUUCCCUACAACCGGCAUUGUCCCGGCGUGUGUUCCCGCGGGUGUUGGAAGCGGCCCCUGCUUUGCAAAGGCUCCUCUCUUACGGGUCCGUUUUUUCUUUACAAUUUUUUUCUUCGCAGAAUUGACUAGUACGCGCUUUGCCUGUCCUGCUUUCGCGGGACCAACUUUCGUUGAAGCUGCUGCCGUUGUGGAGGCUCCUUGUGUCACGGACGGUUUUGGGACGACUUUCUUUGCUCCGUUUACCUUGGAGCUUGAGCAUGGAGCUGGCUUGACCUCGCCUGUUAUCGCUGAUGUGGUGCCUAAUAUUGGAAACAUAAUUAAAAAAAUUAGUGAAAUGCUCUGCCUUGAAAUGCUUAUGACUUUAAUCUGAGGGUGGAAUAGAUCCUCAUCUGAAAUCAAAAGUAAUUUGGAUUGCAUUUUGCAAAAAGGAACCACUAGCAUUGCAAUGAUGCUAAGAUUGUGCACCUUCAUCCUUUGCAAUGAAAUUGCGGAAAUCGUGAAAAACUAUGAAAUUUAGAUGGUAAUUUUUGUCUUAAAUUUACAGUUUUUAGCGAGUAAAAUAGAAACUAUUGAUGGAUAAUCGGGUUUUUUCUCCAAGACAAAAGGAGUUGCACAAUCUUAGCAACAUUGCAAUGCUAGUGGUCCCUUUUUGCAAAAUGCAAUCCAUUUAUGUAGUGUGCAUUAUUAGUAAGACAACAAUGCUUUGAGAGGUAAUCUUAGAGAAUUACUCCAAAAUACUCAUACGAUCAUCCAUGAAAAAAGGAAUCUAAGCGUGCAGGCAAAUUCUGAGGUUAUGUAAUAUUUAAAGAAGCAGUGUAAAAAAAUUAGAAAUUGAGUUUAAGGCAAAAACCCUUCCUCCAGUGUCUGAGAGAAUAGUCUGAGAGCUACUUUGUUAAUUUUUCUUUAUCAGCCAGGGUAAAAUCUCAUAACUUUCUGAUGACUCUGGGUUGCGAUUAGGUCACAUUGAAACUUUGAACAUAUUCAUUUGGAAACGCAGUUUUUUAAAAUGAAAACUUUGGACCGCAUAUCUCUUUGUUUGGUUUAACUUUUCUGUACCAAAAAAUUUGAAAAAUACUUAUUUAAGUAAAGUACUUGAUUUCGAGCUUAUUGCCACUAGGAUUCAUUAUAUCAUGAAAUAUCACAUUCAAUAUUCCAGUACCAGUUCAUUGGUUUAAUUCGAUAAUUGUCUGUCCCUUCAUAGAUGAUAAAUUCUGUCCAAAAACGCAGUUUCUAGGAUAAUGAACAGAAAUACUGCCUUACGAAUGUCAUACUGAAUGAAAUUGUUUCGCAGGGAGUGAUGUAUCAAUUAAUAUCAAGCAUAGGAACUUGGCAAUCUAUUGUUUUCAUUUUAUGCUUGUCCGUAAAAUUUUCCCAAUAUUUUUACUGCUUGUAUGAUCUAAUAAGGAAGUUUUUGAAUUCAUUCCUUAUUUUUAACAAUAAUUGCAGAAGGGUAAAAAACUAAAAAAUAAGCUCUGGAUGAAAAUUAAUAUUUUUUUUAACACACUGCAAUUUUCCAAAAGGACGUGAAUCUUUUCCUGUUACAAAAAGCUAGAAAUAUCGAGAGAAUAAAUGAAAAAUCACACGAAGAUUCAGAGAAAUUCUAUGAAAAUCAAAAACUUGCCCAGAUAUGUUGGGAGAAUAUGGACAAUUUUUUUAAACGCUGGGAAAAUUUGAAGAUCACAGUAAAAUUGUGAAGGUAUUGUUCCCAGAAGUGAGGGGGCUUACAGAACAACUGGAAGCGUUUUAAAACUUUCUAAUCCAUUAGGAAGAUUUGAAAACUUCCACAAACUAGGAAACCUCUUUUAUCUUUCAAAAAAACUAGGAAAAUUCAGAAAAUUUCAAAACUUUAAAAAAUUUGGAAGGUUCCAUUAAUGCUUAAAAAAGAGAAUGAAAGUCUCAUACUACCCUGCUAAGAAAUAACGCCGUCAGACAUUGUCAAGUUUCCUUCAAUAAAAAGUUAAUUUACUGGAAAAGUUGUGAAUAUUUUUUCCCAAAAUUUUCAGACUAUUUUGUACACAAUUUAAUCUAAGUUGUCUUAAAAUUUUAAGGAAAAAUGUGCACAAAUGUGAUUAAAAUUACAUGUUUUAUCAAGGGAAAUUUGGCGACUCUCAAAUGUUUACUCAGUGUUCUUCCUUAGCACAGCAGCAUGGCUUCCGCACUUUUUUGGAGAUUUCCUUAUUGGGCCUGUUGCAAUUUUUUGCUAGAGCAAAACUAAGAGUUGUUUCUAAUAGACAAUGCCUCAACAAUCACGAUGAGCGAAUCGGCAAAGUCUGAAAGGCACUCAUAACUUCACAAUCUGCGUAAGAAAUUUGCGGUUUUUUGAGCUUCCCGCUUCAAAAACGAUACUACGGCACAGGUGAACAUUUUGUUAGAGGAGUCGUUCCAUCCUCGGCAAUACUCAUCAUGGCCGACGACAAUCCGCCAAAACACUUGUGAUGGGACGAGAUAACACCUGAGCAGGAAAAGACCAGAUAACAAUUGGCGUGUUUACGUUCAUAUUUUCCUCGCCCGCCUUGAUUGACCUUGAACUCUCCUCGAAUUACGCGCGGAAAUGCGCAAGCGUCGGCCAUGAUGAAUAUUGCCGACGAUGGAGCGACUCCUCUAACAAAAUGUUCACCUGUGCCGUAGUAUCGUUUUUGAAGCGGGAAGCUCAAAAAACCGCAAAUUUCUUGCGCAGAUUGUGAAGUUAUCAGUGCAUUUCAAACUUUGCCGAUGCGUUCAUCGUGAUUUUUGAGGCAUUAUCUAUAGGAAACAACUCUUAAUUUUGCUCUAGCAAAAGUUUGCAACAGGCCCAUUUUACAGGUAGUCUGGAUUCUACUAUGGACCACUAGACAAGGUACGAAUUUCAGCAUUCUGAUACAUGUUCCCUAGCCAAAAUUUCACGUAAAACACGAUACGCACAACGAAAAUUACCGAAAUCAACUCCUUCCGAAGAUAUUUAAUGAUUCUUGAUGCGUGAAUUCAAACCACCCACUCAUGAAAACUCAAUGCUCUGCGUGAUUCACAUCCCGCGCUAUACGUUAUCAUGACAGUCUCUGCGAUAUAAAAAUCUGGCAACCUCAAUCUUGACGCUUUGGCUCAGCUGUAGCAAAUUGCUUAUAGUUUGAACAACACAUGGUGGGAAAUGAACAUUGCUCGAUAGAGAAGCUUGCAUGAAACCAUUGUAGUUCGCGAUUUGACUCGGGUAGAGCUUUGAGUUUCUUGUGAGCGGGCAGUUCAAAUUCCUCGUAACCAAUGUGAAAUAAAACGUUAAUAUCUUCGUUAGGAGUUGGUUUCAGUCAUUAUCGUUGCGCGAGUCGUGUUCUAAGUGAAAUUCUGGUUAAGAAACAUGUAUCAGAGUCCUUUAACUUGUAACUUGUCUAGUGGUCCAUUCCAUAUUUUCUGUACCCUUAUUUCUUAGUAACAAAUAUUUUCUGUACCAUUUUGAAUCUGAUCUGAGGGUUGUGCUUGAGCUGAGGAGGGUUGUGUUGGAGCUGAAGAGGGUUGUGCUGGAGCUGAGGAUACAGCUACAGCCAAAUUUGAAGCUGGAGCUGAAAGGAGCUGUUUGUUAGGAGCCGUGUUCUCCAGUUCUUCCAAUACCAAGUUGACAUCAAUGUAUUUUUCAACAUCGUGGUCCUGCGGCCUGAAGGGGAGAUCGACAGCUUUUUCCAGCGAAAUAUUCCAGACGUUCCCUGGUAACGGCACAUUCCAUGAUAAACCUGAUUGUAAGAAAAACAGAAUGUAAAAACACUGUUUGCUGAUUGCCAGGUGGAUUGCAUUUUGCAAAAAGGAACCACUAGCAUUGCAAUGAUGCUAAGAUUGUGCAACUUCAUCCUUUGCAAUAAAAUUGCGGAAAUCGUGAAAAACUAUGAAAUUUAGAUGGUAAUUUUUUUUGUCUUAAAUUUACAGUUUUUAGUGAGUAAAAUAGAAACUAUUAAUGGAUAAUCGGGUUUUUCCUCCAAGACAAAAGAAGUUGCACAAUCUUAGCAACAUUGCAAUGCUAGUGGUUCCUUUUUGCAAAAUGCAAUCCAGAUGAUACUUAGAUUGCAUUUUGUAAAAAGGAACCAAGAGCGUUCCAGUGUCGCUAAGAGUGCUUACCUUUUUUUACCUUGCAAAUAUAAACUGAUCAUCUAAACAAGUUUUAUCUUUACUUCCAACAGGGUGUCUAGUAUUUUGUAAUUUUGAAAAAUCCUGAUAUUUUCCUGAUA
RNAcentral lists this long non-coding RNA (4796 nucleotides) under Bemisia tabaci. RNAcentral describes it as "lncRNA ENSSSA1NGG014326". Lineage: Eukaryota; Metazoa; Arthropoda; Insecta; Hemiptera; Aleyrodidae. The record is from RNAcentral.